UACAGAGGGUGCAAGCGUUAAUCGGAAUUACUGGGCGUAAAGCGCGCGUAGGUGGUUUGUUAAGUUGGAUGUGAAAGCCCCGGGCUCAACCUGGGAACUGCAUUCAAAACUGACAAGCUAGAGUAUGGUAGAGGGUGGUGGAAUUUCCUGUGUAGCGGUGAAAUGCGUAGAUAUAGGAAGGAACACCAGUGGCGAAGGCGACCACCUGGACUGAUACUGACACUGAGGUGCGAAAGCGUGGGGAGCAAGCAGG
This 253-nucleotide ribosomal RNA is filed under the name uncultured bacterium. Its description in RNAcentral is "partial 16S ribosomal RNA". It matches the Rfam family "Bacterial small subunit ribosomal RNA", at positions 524 to 776 of the family's 1533-position model. The record is from RNAcentral.